AGUGAACGCUGGCGGUAGGCCUAACACAUGCAAGUCGAACGGCAGCACAGUAAGAGCUUGCUCUUACGGGUGGCGAGUGGCGGACGGGUGAGGAAUACAUCGGAAUCUACUUUUUCGUGGGGGAUAACGUAGGGAAACUUACGCUAAUACCGCAUACGACCUACGGGUGAAAGCAGGGGAUCUUCGGACCUUGCGCGAUUGAAUGAGCCGAUGUCGGAUUAGCUAGUUGGCGGGGUAAAGGCCCACCAAGGCGACGAUCCGUAGCUGGUCUGAGAGGAUGAUCAGCCACACUGGAACCGAGACACGGUCCAGACUCCUACGGGAGGCAGCAGUGGGGAAUAUUGGACAAUGGGCGCAUGCCUGAUCCAGCCAUACCGCGUGGGUGAAGAAGGCCUUCGGGUUGUAAAGCCCUUUUGUUGGGAAAGAAAAGCAGCAGGUUAAUACCCCGCUGUUCUGACGGUACCCAAAGAAUAAGCACCGGCUAACUUCGUG
This 492-nucleotide ribosomal RNA is filed under the name uncultured bacterium. RNAcentral's name for it is "partial 16S ribosomal RNA". It matches the Rfam family "Bacterial small subunit ribosomal RNA", at positions 29 to 507 of the family's 1533-position model. The record is from RNAcentral.